UACGGAGGGUGCGAGCGUUGUCCGGAAUCAUUGGGCGUAAAGGGCGCGUAGGUGGCUUCUUAAGCGUGCGGUGAAAGCCUGGGGCUCAACCCCGGGUCGGCCGUGCGAACUGGGGGGCUGGAGCACUGUAGAGGCAGGCGGAAUUCCGGGUGUAGCGGUGGAAUGCGUAGAGAUCCGGAAGAACACCGGUGGCGAAGGCGGCCUGCUGGGCAGUGGCUGACGCUGAGGCGCGACAGCGUGGGGAGCAAACAGG
RNAcentral lists this ribosomal RNA (253 nucleotides) under uncultured bacterium. RNAcentral's name for it is "partial 16S ribosomal RNA". It matches the Rfam family "Bacterial small subunit ribosomal RNA", at positions 524 to 776 of the family's 1533-position model. The record is from RNAcentral.